GGACGUGGCUCAGCUGGUAGAGCAUCACCUUGCCAAGGUGAGGGUCGCGGGUUCGAACCCCGUCGUCCG
This 69-nucleotide transfer RNA is filed under the name Collinsella provencensis. It matches the Rfam family "tRNA". Rfam says of the family: Transfer RNA (tRNA) molecules are approximately 80 nucleotides in length. RNAcentral also lists the same sequence under 1 other name. Lineage: Bacteria; Bacillati; Actinomycetota; Coriobacteriia; Coriobacteriales; Coriobacteriaceae. The record is from RNAcentral.